This 253-nucleotide ribosomal RNA is filed under the name uncultured bacterium. RNAcentral describes it as "partial 16S ribosomal RNA". It matches the Rfam family "Bacterial small subunit ribosomal RNA", at positions 524 to 776 of the family's 1533-position model. The record is from RNAcentral.
UACGUAGGGUGCAAGCGUUGUCCGGAAUUAUUGGGCGUAAAGAGCUCGUAGGCGGUCUGUUGCGUCGGCUGUGAAAACCCGGGGCUCAACUCCGGGCCUGCAGCCGAUACGGGCAGACUAGAGUUCGGCAGGGGAGACUGGAAUUCCUGGUGUAGCGGUGAAAUGCGCAGAUAUCAGGAGGAACACCGGUGGCGAAGGCGGCGAUCUGGGUGGAUACUGACGCUGAGGUGCGAAAGCGUGGGGAGCAAACAGG